This is an RNA transcript of Zea mays, 512 nucleotides long. It is a transcript of the gene named WD40 repeat superfamily pseudogene, with no coding region annotated. The record is from RefSeq and is marked validated. The transcript has 4 exons. NCBI's taxonomy places the organism in Eukaryota, Viridiplantae, Streptophyta, Magnoliopsida, Poales, Poaceae.
UGCUAAUAAAACUGUGGGACUGGGAUAAAGGGUGGGUGUGCACUCAAAUAUUUGAGGGACAUUCACACUAUGUGAUGCAGGUUACUUUCAAUCCAAAGGAUAUUAACACCUUUGCAAGUGCAUCCCUUGACCGCACUACAAAGAUAUGGAGUUUGGGUUCUCCAGAUCCAAACUUCACACUUGAUGGGCAUCAAAAGGGUGUCAACUGUGUUGACUACUUCACUGGUGGUGACAGGCCCUAUUUGAUUACUGGUUCUGAUGACUCCACCGCAAAGGUCUGGGAUUACCAGACGAAGAGCUGUGUUCAGACUCUUGAAGGGUAUACACAUAAUAUUUCUGUUGUUUGUUUCCAUCCUGAGCUCCCUAUAAUCAUUACUGGAUCUGAAGAUGGUACAGUUCGUAUAUGGCAUUCGACAACUUACAGACUUGAGAACACACUAAACUAUGGCCUUGAGAGAGUCUGGGCUGUUGGAUACAUGAAGGGGUCUAGAAGGUAAGAUCAUUUGCAUUCU